Anopheles epiroticus is the source of this 47-nucleotide non-coding RNA. NCBI's taxonomy places the organism in Eukaryota, Metazoa, Arthropoda, Insecta, Diptera, Culicidae. The record is from Rfam.
AAAACGGCCCUUUUCAGGGCCACCAUUUCGAUUUCGGGAUAAGAACU